AGAAUUUACUCGGGAGCUGUUCCCAUGUGGUAGCUGUUAUUAAUGGAUUGAUUUUUCAGACAAUAGUACGGCUUCUUGCAGAAACCCAAACUCCAAGAACUUACUGUUUCAGCCAAAAGAAAUCUGUAAAAAAAUGUUUUCUUAAAAAAAAAAUUGUUUAUUUUUUAAAUGUGGAAAAUAGAUUUUUUUUUUUUUUCCUUCAAAGUAAAGCCCAAAAAACACCCUUUGGCUCAACUGUCAAAUCUCUGAAGACUGAAAGUUCAGGAAACCUUCCUUUGGACCCAGCUCCCUUCACUGCUGUCUGCCUUUAAGGGAAGCCACCUCAGGCACAAGGACUUUGUGCAUGGAGGCUAAUGAAGUACAGGAAGCCCUGCUCCCCUGGAGUCUUCAGGGACACAAUACUGUCUUCCCCUGGCAGUCAUACAUCAUGGGACAGCUUCCCAGAAAUCACAAGCAGAUUAAACAUUACAGGAUCUUUUCCCUUGCAAUGGCACAGGUGAAAGUCAGCAGGUCAAUCUACCAGCAAAGAGGAGGGGAAAGAAGAAGAAUAUGUCUGAGCUGCUUUGAAACAAUGCCGUUAGGCACAAGUUUUCUGUGCAAAGACCACAGCAAAGCACAACCACUGCAAAAGACCAGGGCAGGGAUGGGCCCAGGAGGAUCCACUCUGCUUUAA
RNAcentral lists this long non-coding RNA (673 nucleotides) under Corvus moneduloides (New Caledonian crow). RNAcentral's name for it is "lncRNA (ENSCMUG00000002976.2)". Lineage: Eukaryota; Metazoa; Chordata; Aves; Passeriformes; Corvidae. The record is from RNAcentral.